Molecule: ribosomal RNA, 427 nt
Filed under: uncultured bacterium
Lineage: Bacteria
Description: bacterial SSU rRNA
Rfam family: Bacterial small subunit ribosomal RNA
Source: RNAcentral
UGGGGAAUUUUGGACAAUGGACGCAAGUCUGAUCCAGCCAUGCCGCGUGCGGGAAGAAGGCCUUCGGGUUGUAAACCGCUUUUGUCAGGGAAGAAACGAGUUUCUCUAAUACAGAGACUUAAUGUCGGUACCCGAAGAAUAAGCACCGGCUAACUACGUGCCAGCAGCCGCGGUAAUACGUAGGGUGCAAGCGUUAAUCGGAAUUACUGGGCGUAAAGCGUGCGCAGGCGGUUAUAUAAGACAGAUGUGAAAUCCCCGGGCUCAACCUGGGAACUGCAUUUGUGACUGUAUAGCUAGAGUACGGCAGAGGGGGAUGGAAUCCCGCGUGUAGCAGUGAAAUGCGUAGAUAUGCGGAGGAACACCGAUGGCGAAGGCAAUCCCCUGGGCCUGUACUGACGCUCAUGCACGAAAGCGUGGGGAGCAAACA